RNAcentral lists this long non-coding RNA (12246 nucleotides) under Homo sapiens (human). RNAcentral's name for it is "HSALNT0402881". Lineage: Eukaryota; Metazoa; Chordata; Mammalia; Primates; Hominidae. The record is from RNAcentral.
CUUCCUCCACAAAGGGGUCCUGGAGGUGCACGUUCUCGCAGCCUUCCAUAGCUUGCCCCAAUUCAACAGGCAAUUCAAAAACCUAGGUGCUGUUGAAAGGAACGCCUCCCUAAGCCUGAUGUCCCUGGGAUGGACACAGCUGGUCGCCGUCUAUCCUACCUUGGCCUGCAGGGGCCGGGGCCCUCCUAGAGGCGUCCCCGCCCCCAUCCACUCCGAACAGCCGAAAACCGUCUCUAAGUCACCUUUCUGACUCCCCUUCCGCUGCUCCAGCUAGAUCCAGGAGGUGAGUCAACCACCCCUGCCCACUCUGGCAUCCUCAGAUCGCCUCUACGCCCGCAAGAGCAACAAGGACCCCCGGGAACCCACCUAAGAUCGUCAUCUCUCUGGCCAUCACAGUCCCGCCGAACAGGCUUGUGAUGACUGUACCAGACGUGAGGCACCGCCCCCACUCCUCCCGGCAGUCCCGCAGCCCCCUGGGAAAUGUAGUCCGCUUGCUCUGAGGCAAUCGGAGAAGCUAUCGCUCUGACCAAAGCAAGGACUUCAUCUACCGUGAGGGCGCGGGGCAAAGAGCCUCCAUUCAACCGCUGCCAGUGACGACUGAGUCCCCCUUCCACGCAACGGCCGGCAGGACCAGUGAGACUGAGGGGGAGGAGCGCCGUGGCGAGAGACUGGCGUUUAUAAUCAAACCUGUGGUCCCGCGAUCCUACUUGAGGGAAAACAGGCUAUCUCUUUAGCCCCGCCCCGCGCUUUGCAUUCUGGGAAGCGGAGUUCCAGCCUUUCUCUUUCCGCGGGAGGGAAUGAAAGGGAGGGUGAGAACCGUUAGUUAUUUCUUUCUUUGGUCGUGCCCCUAAUCAGGUCCAGGAUUCGAGUUUGUGUUCUUUCGUUUUAAUUCCUUUUAAAGCGCGUUCGUUUGCCUGAGAUCUAGCUUCUAGAUGGCGUUCCUAUAGCCUCCCGGAGCCCCAGCCAUCCUCCGUAGAAGGGUCCCUGCCGCAGUGCGGGGCCUGAGGGAAGUCGGCUCUGGCGUCCGUGCUCCAACGCUGGGAGCAGCCCUGAAACUCCAGUGACCCUCAGCCGUCUGCCUUUGUUUUGGGAUAAAUGAAUUCAAGCAUUCUUCAGUCAAUUCGAUUUAUCCAAGGGAUCAGGGACACAUUUUCUCUAUUGCUAGCACUGACGUGGGCCAUUAAAAACAAAAACAAAAACGAAAUUAAAAAGAAAACCCUUAGCUCUCUCUUCAAGUAAGUCUUAAGUGGCCAAAAUUGACCUUAUGGGCAAGUCCUGUAACGUGACAGCCAUUUUAGGACGCUUGUGACAUGCUGUUCAGGUUCUAGUCUGAAGUAGGAUUUUUCUCGCAUCUUGGUCACUGGUAGCACUUAAUGACUCCUCUGAGAGUGGUUUUGUCAUUUUUGCUGUUAGAGUUCACGAUAACUAAGAUCCUGGAGAAUUGAAUCCAUUUUCUCAGCUUAGAUAUAAAUCAAACCAUCCCUGUUGACAACACGUCAGCCUGCUGUGGGAAUACAUUGCUGGUUAUUUCUGACUUAUCAAUGUGAAUUUUGAUUAUGGAAGCUGAAUUCUGGUUGAUAGGGAUCCAUUGUAAUGUUCUCUCUACUUUUGCGCAUUUUUAAGUAUUUCAUAAUGCGAAAUAUAAAAAGUGUGUGUCUAUAGUGAGUGCUGUUCAAUAAGAUUCUUAUAAGGAGUGAAGAAUUCAAGCACUUAGUUCUUAAGUAUUACUUGUAAUGGGCAGUGGGCUGGAGGUGUUCCAGGCAGACGGAACUCAAUUACCAAGAGCACAGAAGCAAGAGAUCAUCUAUUCCAUAGAUUAGAAAGUGGUGGAUCAUAAAGCAUGAGGUAGAAUUCUGAGAGACAGAACUAGAGACUUAAACCAGAUUAAGAUUAGCCGUCUGUGACAAGCACUGGUCAUUGGGAUUCUCCCUGCCACUCACUCCUUUCUCCUUGCUAACAAGAUCCUGAUUUGUUCAAGAAGCAGGUAAAGAUUAUGUGAUCUCAGAGUAGAAGGCCUUUAGAAUUAAGAUUGAACUAAAUAGGUUGUAUUCAUUUUCUAUUUCUGCCUUAACAAAUUACCACAAAUUUAGUGUCUUAAACCAACUCAAAUCUAUUAUUUUUACAGUUCGGUAUAUCAGAAAUUUGGUAUGGGUCUCACUUAACUAAAAGCAAGUUAUUAGCAAAGCUGCAUUCCUUUCUGGAUGUUCUAGGGGAGAAUCAGUUUCCUGCUAAUUUGAGUUAUUGGCAGAAUUCAUUUUCUUGCAGUUGUAGGGUUCAGGUCUUCAUUUUCUUGCUGGCUGUAACCUGAGAGCUGUUUCCAGUUUCUGAGGCCAUACACAUAUCUUAGCUCAGAGACCCUCUUUCUCCAUCUUCAAAGCCAGCAACAGCGGGUCAGGUCCUUUACAGAGGACAUUUUUUUGCAUCGCUCUUCCAAAUUUUAGAUGUCAUGUGUUUACAUUGGACCUAUCUGGACAACUCAACGUAAUCUCCAUUUCAAACCCUGUAAACUUAUCAUAUCUGCAAAGUCCGUUUUGCCAUGUAAGGUAACUAUUCACGAGUUCUAACAGUUUGAGGAGGCCUUUAUUAUGCCUACUAAAAUGGUUCUGUGGCCCCUCAGAUUCACAUCUGUCCACAUACAAAAUGCAACAUCCACCAAAGUCCCAUCCCAUUAUAGCAUGAACUCAAAGUCCAGAAAGUUCAUCUAUACUUCAUCAGUUCAAAAGUCUCGCAUCUCAUUAUCUAAAUCAACUAAAUGGGGUAGUAACUGAUACCACUUAUCCCUUCUUGUUUGUUUACAAUCAGAGGAACAAUGAAAUACUUAGAUAAGAAUGCUGGUGAGACUAUUCCAGUAAUGUUAUAAAGAACAGAAAAGUCAAGGCACUGGGGUUGGGAAGUAAUCAUUGUUAUCAUUCUCCAAUAGUGACCAAUUAAUUCGUUGUUUUUAUAGUUAUUGUUUGGUGUUUUAUGUUACAAUCCAUUGCAAUUAUUAUCCUUCUUGAUACUUAGAUUGCUUUAAUUUUGGCCGAUGGCAGCCUCUUCAAAAUUCACUCAUGAAUGCUUUUGACACAAUCGCUUUACUUACUGCCUUGCUACCUGCUCUAAAAAGAUAUCUAGAAUCCUCUUAUUUUUUUUUGUUUGUUUUGUUUUGUUUCAUACUUAUAAUUAACUGUAUGUCUAAGGAACCCUGCUUUCUUUUAUUAAGAAAGUGUGGUAUCUGGAGACCAUAAUUUGUAUGCCAGGGGGUUAUUAUUUUAAGGGUGCCAGUUCUUUUUAUAUCUUUGAAUUCAGUGAAAUAUCAAAUAAAAAGCCAGCAGGAUAUUUUAUGACUUGAUAAAAUGACAAUAAAAUUUAUUUGGAAUAUUUAAGAUAAGAAUUUAAUGGGUAUAUAGUCCUUGCGCAUGUUAAGUGACAAAACUACAAACUUAAUACUACAGAGGAAACAGAAAAUGGACUUUAGGCUCAGCAGCAGCACAUGCUUGUAGCCCCAGCUACUCGGGAGACUGAGGUGGAAGGAACACCUGAGCCCAGGAUUUUGAAUCCAGCCUAGGCAGCAUAGCAAGAACCCUAUUGCAAAAAACUAAAUAAAAGAAAUAAAAAUAAAACAGACCUAAGAAGAAAGUGGCAAUCUCUUCAAAAUAAAUGAAAGCUAUAUUAUUCAACAAAUGUAACAGGGCAGUUGGCUAUUUAUAACUUUGAAUGUAAAAAGGGAUAUUAUACCUUAACAUCAAAAUAAAUAUAAAUAGAUAAAAUGUUUAAUUAAAUAACUACAAGUAGUUUUAUUCAUUAACUUAGGGGUAGGAGAAGUCUUUGAAAUUAAGACUUAAAACCUAGAAACAAAUAAGGCAAAACUAAACUUAACAGAUAAAUUUGAUUAUGUAGAAUUUAAGAUUAUCUAGCAGGCAGAAUUACCUAUUUGAAUUUAUAUGAAGUCAAAAGACAAAUGACAAACUGAAGAAAUACUAAACAUACAUCAUGAUCUAUAAUAGAUUUAAUUCCUUUAUGGAGAAUUCCUUCAGAGUAUAAAGGUGUACAACUCAAUUGAAAAAUAAGAAAGGACAUAGACAAUAGAAAAUAAAAAUAACCAACAAACAUGAAAAUAUAUUCUACCUUAGUCACACUUAAAUAAACAUAAAUCAGAAUAAUAACAUGUCAUUUCUACCUAUCUGUAAUCAGUUGAAUUGUGGCCCCCUCCAAAAAAGGUAUGCUGGAGUGCUAAACCCCUGUACCUCAGAAUGUGACUUUAUUUGGAAAUAAAGUUGUUGGACAUAUAAUCAGAUAAUAUGAGGUCACACAGAAAUAGGGUGGUCUGUUAAUCCAGUAUUACUGGUAUCCUUAUAAGAAAAGGGCCAUAUAAAGGCACGGAAACACAAGGAGAAUGCUAUGGGAUGACCAAGGCAGUGAUUAGAGUUAUGUAGCUACAAGCCAAUGAACGUCAAAGAUUGUCAACAAACCAGCAGAGCUACGAAGAGUCAAUAAAGGAUUCCCCUGCAUGUUUUAGAGGGGACAUGCCCAACUCAUAUUUUGAUUUUGGACUUCUAAUCUCCAAAACUAUGAGACAAUAACAUUUUGUUGUUUUAAAGCCAUGCAGUUUGUGAUAAUUUGUUAUGGCAGCCCUAGGAAACUAUAUACUAUCUUACUGGAAAAAUAUUUAAAUAAUGAUAAGCAGUGCUAGUGAAUGUGUCUGUUGCUCAUGAUAGGCCUGUUUGUGGAGUACAUUUUGAAAGGGUAAUAUUGAUUAAAAUGCAGGGCACAUAGACUUACAUUUACAGCCAUUAUUAUAAUGAAUAGAAUUAUUCUUUCUCCACAGAGAAAGAGAUGGAAAACAGCACAAAAUUAGAUGAAAUAAUAGUUUCAGACUUUGGAGAAUAGGCAGAGAAACACUAUGAUCCCUGAGAAAAAAGAGAUAAACCACGUAAAGUCUAUAGUCAUCCUGUAUUUUUAUUGAGAGACACACAUGCAAGACCACAGUGUAGACGAAAGUCCCAAGGAGAGUAUAUGGCCUUGCCUUGUAUAGAAGACACAUACCAGAGUUCAGGCGUUUUGGAAGGAGGCUGAAGUUGCAGCAAAGGGCUCUGAAGAGGUAAGCGCUAUAUAGAAUACCAGAAAUCCCCAAAAUAUUGGGAUACCUUUACUUCACACCAUACACAAAAAUUAACUUGAAAUUAGUUAUAGAUCGAAAUGUAAGACCUCAAAACUCAAACUACAAAUCUGUAGGAAAACGCAUGAGAGAAGAUAUUUGUGAUCUUCUUGUAGGUAAAGAUUCCCUACAUGUGAAAUAAAAAGCAUGAAUCAUAAAAAAGUUGAUAAAUAGAAUGUCAUUAACAUUAAAAAUUUCUAUUCUUACAUGCCAUCAAGAAAUGAAAAGUCAACUCACGAACUGAGAAAAUAUAGUACAUAUAUCUAACAAAAGACUUGUAUCUAGAGUUUAUGAGUAACUCUUACAACUAAAUAAUAAUAUAACAGAAAAUACCUAGUUAAAAUUUGGUUGUAAGAUUGUAAUAGAGAUUUCAUAAAAGAAAAUAUACUAAUAGCCAAUAAACACAUGGUAAGAUAGUUAACACUGGGGACAAACAAAACCACUACACGUCCACUACAAUGGCUAAAAUUUAAAGGUUGAUUCACUAAGUGUUGACAUAGAUAGGGAACAACUGGAAUUCUUAUACAUCACCAGCAAUAUUAUAAAAUGGUACCUUAACUUUGCAAAAACAGUUUGACAGUUUCUUAUGUUGGUAAACAUAUCCUUACCAUAUGACUCAGCAAUUUCACUUGAUAUUUAACCAACAAAAAUAAAACCAUAUCAAAAAAAAUUGUGCAAGGAUGUAUGUAGCAGUUUUUCUUGCAGUAGCCACAAACUAAAUCAUAGAUCCAUUAACAGUUGAGCGAAUAGUUUUACUGUACAAUUGUGCAUAAGAAGUAUUAAAAUGUGUCCACACAGUGACUUAUACAUGAAUGAUUUGGGAAUCUGUGUUCCUAAUGGCCUCCAAACAGAAGCAAUACAAAUUCAGCAGGUAAAUGGAGAUGCCAAUUAUGGUAUAUCCAUAUAACAGAAUACUACUCAGCAACAGAAAGGAAUCAUUGAUGAAUACAAUAACAUUAUGAUGAGCUAAGCAGAAGAACCCAGGCACAGAAGAAUUUCUACUCUGUGAUUAAAUGUAUAGGAAAUUCUAGAAAAGAAAUACCUAAUACACAGUGAAAGAAAGCAGGGCAGUAAUAGCUGAGAUGCAAGGAGGUGAUUGACUGGGAAGAGGCACCAGGGAAGUUUUUACAAUGAUGCAAAUGUUCCACAUCUUAACUGUGGUAGUGGUCACAUGGAUAUAGAUCUAUAUUUCUCUACAUAGAUAUCUCCUUGUGUAAAUACUUAUGUAUAUAAAUAUAUCUCUGUCAAACUCAUUAGAUUGCACAGUUAAAAUGGAUGAAUUUUAUUUUAUGUAAAUUAUACUUAAAUAAAGUUAUUUUGAAAAAUAAAAUUUUCUAUACCUGAAAACUGUGAAGAAGAACACCAGAAAUUCUAAGUAUUCUACUGCUAGGAAUUUAUAAAUAUUCUUAUGAAAGUACACAUCUUAAUUGCUCAUGGCAGGACUCUUUCCCAAAAAAUAAUUGGAAAUGACCUAAUCAACCAUUUAUGGCUCUGUCAAACAGUGGAGUUAUAACAAAAAAUGAAAUUCAUUUGUAUUGUUGUAUUUCUAAAAAGUGUUUCUAAACCGUGUUGUUAAGUAAAAUCAAUCAAGGUUUGGAGCACAUAUUAAUUAAUUACACAUUAAUACUACUUCGAGUGGAUAGCCUAAACAAUAUGUGCUAAUAGCAUAAACAUUUUAUGUCCACUUUAAUUUAAUUUAAGCUUUAACUUAUUACUGUCUUUACUAUAUUUUCUUAUUUCUAUUAUCUUUUCAUCUUUGAACCAUUGGUUAUUUAGAAGUGUGCUUCCCAAUUUCCAAACAUUUGGUGAUUUUCUAAUUACCUUUUUGUUAUGAUUUCUAGUAUAAUUAUACUGUGGUUGGACAACAUAUUCUGUAUGAUUUUAAUCCUUUGAAAUAUAUUCACACUUGUUUUAUUGUCUAGAAUAUAUUCUGUUUUGGUGAAUAUUCCAUAUCUAUGUGAAAAAUGUGUGUUCUGCCAUUUCUGGGUGUAGUAUUUUGGAACUAUCAUUUAGAUGUAUUUUACGGCUUCUGUAUCCUAGUUUUGUUCUUAUUAUUGUUCUAAAUGCUUUAUCUGUCAUUGAGAGUUGUAGGUUAAAACAUCCAUCUAUGAUUGUGGAUUUUCCCAAUUGAUGUGUGUGUGUGUGUGUGUGUGUGUGUGUGUGUGUGCUCUGUUUUUAGGCAAAUACAAAUUUAAGAUUAUAAUUAUUUUAUUAGCAUGAAAUAUUCCUUUUUAUAUUUAAUAAUACAUUUUGUUUUAGAGACUACUUUGUCCCAGGAUCAGAACAGAACUACACAGCAAAAUUUAAGGUGAUGCCUACUCUCUGAUACCGACUCUGCAGUUGUAGGACCCUGAGAGUAAGCUCCCCCUUAAAUUUUGUGCCCAAAUGCCUCAUCCUGUAAGAGGCAUUCACUCUUAUGGCAGUUGCACUUGCUUUCCUUGCCCUUGUUCCAGUCCUGAUUUGUCUGAUAUUAAUAGAGUAACUCCAGCUUUCUUUUGUUAGUAUAUCCUAAGUACAUUUUCCCUAUCCUAUAUCUCUUCACCCGUUUAUCUCCUUAUAUUUAACAUGUUUAUUGUAUGGAAGCUAAAUGAUGUGUACACAUACACAUAGAGUAUGGAAUAAUAGACACUGGGAACUCGAAAGGGUGAGAGGGUGGGGUAUGUGAGCGAUGAGAAAUCACUUAAUGGGUACAAUGUACGAUAUUGAAUGAUGGUUACACUAAAAGCCUAGACUUUACCACUAUGCAAUAUAUAUCGAUGUAACGAAGUUACACUUGUACCCCUUACAUUUAUACAGAUUUUUUUUUAAAUAGUGUCUCUUGUAAAUAGUAUAUAGUUGGGCUUAUGUUUUUGCAGUAGGAUAAUAUGUCUUUUAUUUAUAGUCUUUAGUCAAUUUACAUUAACUAUAGCUAUGGAUAUAGAUCAAUGCAUGGAUUUAAGUCUAUCAUCUUCCUUUAUUUAAAAAGUAUCAUUUUUUUUACUUCUUUCCUGCUGUCUUUGAGAUCACUCAGUAUUUUUUAUUCCAUUUUAUAUCUUUUAUUUUUUCAGUUAAAAAUCUUUUUCUUUCAUUGUUUAGUGGUUAUCGUAGUGAUUUUAACAUAUAUCUUUGACUUAUUACAUUUAGUCCUUUUAUCAUGUCUUGAAGGAUGCAAAACUCUCACAGCACUUUUACUUAUCACUCCCUACCUUGAAUAUUUAUUGUUAUAUGUUGUAUAUGUACUACGUUAUACACCCUACAAGUAAUAAUUAUUACUAUUUUUUUGUUUGUUUGUUUGCUUCGUUUUUUUUGAGACGGAGUCUCGCUCUGUCGCCCAGACUGGAGUGCAGUGGCUCCGCCCCCCGGGUUCACGCCAUUCUCCUGCCUCAGCCUCCCGAGUAGCUGGGACUACAGGUGCCCACCACCACGCCCAGCUAAUUUUUUGUAUUUUUGGUAGAGAUGAGGUUUCAUGGUGUUAGCCAGGAUGGUCUCGAUCUCCUGACCUUGUGAUCCGCCCGCCUCGGCCUCCCAAAGUGCUGGGAUUACAGGCUUGAGCCACCGGACCCGGCCAACUAUUGUUUUAAAGGCAUCAAUAUUUUCCAAAUUUUCUCACAUAUUUAACUUUUCUAGUUAAAUAUUAAAUGUUAUAUUUUAUUUCUAGUUAAAUAUUAAAUGUUAAACAUAUUUAACAUAUUUAACAUUUCUUUCAUGUUUUCAUUUUUGACCAUUUUCCGUCAGCUUGAAAAAUUUCAUUAAUAUUUUUUGUAGUGCUGGUUUGUUGGCAACAACAUUUUUUGAGGAGGGGCUAAAAUAUCUUUAUAUCAUCUUCACUUUUGAAAAAUAUUUUCUUUAGAUACAGAAUUUGCGUUGGCAGUUUUAAUUUCUUCCCUCUUUUUCUUUUAUCACUUUAAAGAUGCCAUUCCAUUGCUUUUGUCUGGUAAAAUUAUCCAUAAAUCUCAUUCUUGCUUUUUGAAGAAGAUGUGCCUUUUUUCUAUGCCUGGUUUAAAAAUCUGUUUCUCCCCCCCCUUUUUUUUUUUUGAGAAGUUUAAAUACGUUUUGCCAAAUAUGGUUAAUUUGCAUGUGUCUCUCUUGAGGCUGACUGGGAUUCUUGGAUCUCUGGUUGUUGCCUUCAUCAGAUUUGGAAAAAUUCUCAUCCAUAGCUCUUCAAAUAUUGUCUCUGUCCCUUUUCUCUUUUUCUGAGAUUUCAAUUGCGCAUGUAUUUGCCCAUGUACUAUAUUAAUUUUUGCCCUAUAUUUGUUAAUACUUAGUUCUUUUCUUUCCAUUUCUUUUCUGUCUUCAAGUUGAAUUUUUUUCUGUCUUUAUGUACACUAAUAAUUUCUUUACUGUGUCUAGUCAGCUAUUAAACACAUUCUAGAGUUUUUAAUUCAUGUAUUUUAUAUUUUUCAGUUCUAGAAUGUUUCAUUUGAUUUUUAUAUUGAUUCUAAUUGUAUGUUAAAAUUGUCUUUUCUUUCAUUCCGCUCAUCGUUUAUUCUCUUUUAUUUAAAUUUAUUCGUUAGUUAUUUUAAAGCUUUUAUCUGUUUAGUCCAAUGAUAUCCAUAGCUAGGGAGAAGAGGAAGUGUCCUUAUAUCAUCUAAUUUUUUUUCAUUUUCUUUCGUUACGUUUUCCAGUUUAUUCAGAUGCCUCGUUUCUAUACAUGUUAGAACUAUAGAGAGAGAGAGGUUGAUGUUACUUUCCUCUCAAACAAGAUUUUCCCUUUUCUCUUAUGCAGGUAGACUGAGAACGAAUCAUCUCAGUACAACUGGGAAUUUAGCCACAUAGGGGUUGGAUUCCACCGCAAGUAAAAAGUUAGUCCUUCUCUAAAGUACAGACAUGCCCUGUGUUUGUUGCAGACCCCUCCCUCUAGAGGGACUUUAUCUUUUAAGCAUUUCAAGAAACAGGAGUUCCUUCUCUGCUUUGCACCACCUUAGCACUCAUGUCUGGGGCUCCUUUAGAUUCCCCUGCCAGUGUCCACCGAAAGCUCUGAGGGUUUCUGUUUCUCCUAGAGGAGUUCUUUGCUUAAAUCAAGCUUAAUCUUUACUAUGUGCACAGAUUUGGCAAAUGCUGCCAUGAAGAAAACUGUUGGUCUCAUCUUUCCCAAGAAAUAUUCCAUCUCUGGAAACAGUUCAUUUAGUCCUCUUUGCAUCCUCCCUACUUCGAUGUCUUACAAACUUGACUUUGGGAUGUAUGCAUUUUUUUCUAUUUGUUGAAGUGGGAGUUGUAACUUGUACCCUGCCUUCUUCAUUCCACUCAGUGGUUAAAAUAGACCAAAAUUUUAAUGAGUUUAUUACCUUUUAUUGGUCCUGACUGGUACAAAUACUGAUAAAAAGGAUUUUAAGAUCAUAUUCAUACUUUUGGGGAAUGAGAGCCACAAUUAAUUAACAAUGUCUGCCAUGAGAUUGGAUGCAAGAGUAUGGCACUCAUACUAUUCCUACUUCUGUCUAAUUACACUAUUUGUUUCUGUGUGCAAAAAUCUUUGGUAGGUGGUGGAUGUGCCCAAGACACAGGGAAGAAAAAGAAGUAAACAGGGAAGUACAACACAGACUCUGAAAUGGGGCAUCAUGGAAGACGGAGCUUUGUCGUCUUGGUCUUUGCUGUAUAUUCACUUCCUACAACAGUGCUAAAUACCUUGUGGAUGCUUAAAUAUAUUAAAUGAAUGCAUAAAUGAAAAGAGUAAAUAAAGAGUGUAUAUGAAAGUAUGUAGAUAAAAUUCUUCACUAAGCCUUGGGGAUCCAGCUGCUUAAGGACUAAGACCGUAUCUAGCUCCUUUUAGUAUUUCCACAGCAUGCCAUGGAGAUACAUGUUUCUGAUUAUAUAUGAUACAUGGAAAUUAUAUGUUGUUGAAUGAGUGAUUGAGUAAAUGUGUACUAGGGCAGCUAAUCAUAAAUAUUUCUACUAUUGCUAAAAUGACUGGAUUUAUCCAUUCCUUCUGAGAGUUUAUACUGAUUGCUUAUAUUGUAUCAAAUACCGUAACUGAGGGCAAUGUUUACUCAAACUAAUAGCACCAUUCAAAUUUAUGCAAACAAUAACACUAUAUCUUUAAAAUGUUUUCACUAAAAGCUGCAUAAAGAGUGUAUUCAACAACAAUAGAAUAAUUUUACAAUCUUUUUUCUUGCUUAAUGGCCAUUUGUGCCUUCUGACAUGCUGCUAGCCAUUCAAAGGUCACACUACCUUGAAGUUGAAGAUCAAGACAAAUGAUUAGACUCAUAAAAGACAAAUCACGUCUUUCUGGACAGGUGAUUAUUAAUAAUUAAUUAGCAUUUAAACAUGUAUUAUUUAAGUUCUUUUUAAGUUAUAAAGUCUUUGAUUUGCUAAACAGUUUAAAUAAUGAAUAAAACAUAAAAUAAUAAUAGUUACCAUUUAUUUAAUUCCAUAAUAACUGAUUUGUAUGUAUUAUAAGCUUUCUUUCUGAAAGCAGAGUUUGGAGGUGGGUUCAUAACUUUCUACAAACAGAAAACUGAGAUUUAGAGGGUUAGCUAGGGAAGAAUUUAAAAUUAGAUCCGUCUUAUUAAAAAAACAAUCUAUGUUCUUGUCUUAGUCAGCUUGGGCCUCCAUAACAAAAUACAAUGGACUGUUGGCUUCAAAAACUGAAACUUAUUUUCUCACAGUUUUGGUGGCUGGUGGGUCAGAGAUCAAGGUGUUGGCCAAAUGUGUUUUUUUUUUUUUUUUUGAGGAUUCUCUUCCUGGCUCACAAAUGGCUGCUUUCCUUGUCAUUGAUGACUUGAUACAGAGGGGGAGAGGGAGAGAGAGAGAGAGCAAAGUGUGUGUUUGUGUGUGUGUCUCUGUGUGUGUUUAUAUUAGAGAGAGAGAGAGACAGAGAUCUUACACUUUUUAUAAGGUCACAGUCUUGUGGUAUUAGUACCUCAUUUUUAUGACCUCAUUUAACCUUAAUUACCUCCUAGAGCCUUUAUCGCCAGAUACAGUCACAUUUCACAUCGAAGGUUUGGGCUUCGACAUAUAAAUUCUGUGGGAUACAAUUCAGUCCAUAGCAAUUCUGAAGCACUAUAAUAUACUCUUUUAAUUUUUAAAUAAAGAUGGAAUUAUUUAAUAUGUUAUCUUUCAGUUGCCUUCUGGGUGUGAUUUACAUUGUGACUUAUAUAUAAUACUAACUCCCUGAAAAACUCUCUGACACAUAA